AUCUCGUAAUGAGGACAUUUAUAAAGUAAUUCCUUGAAUCUUUCCCAUGCCUCAUAGAAAGAUUCGUCAUCCAAUUGCUGGAAAGUAGUUAUCUGAUUUCACAACUU
Gossypium arboreum is the source of this 107-nucleotide small nucleolar RNA. It matches the Rfam family "Plant small nucleolar RNA R71". From Rfam's summary of the family: R71 is a member of the C/D box family of snoRNAs containing the C (UGAUGA) and D (CUGA) box motifs. Multiple nearly identical copies of this snoRNA have been identified in Arabidopsis, and it is thought to function as a 2'-O-ribose methylation guide for 18S ribosomal RNA. NCBI's taxonomy places the organism in Eukaryota, Viridiplantae, Streptophyta, Magnoliopsida, Malvales, Malvaceae. The record is from Rfam.